CAGGGAUUGCCCCAGUAACGGCGAGUGAAGCGGCAACAGCUCAAAUUUGAAAUCUGGCCCUCGGGUCCGAAUUGUAAUUUGCAGAGGAUGCUUUUGGCGCGGCGCCUUCCGAGUUUCCUGGAACGGAACGCCAUAGAGGGUGAGAGCCCCGUCCGGUUGGACGCCUAGCCUAUGUAAAGCUCCUUCGACGAGUCGAGUAGUUUGGGAAUGCUGCUCUAAAUGGGAGGUACAUGUCUUCUAAAGCUAAAUACCGGCCAGAGACCGAUAGCGCACAAGUAGAGUGAUCGAAAGAUGAAAAGCACUUUGAAAAGAGGGUUAAAUAGUACGUGAAAUUGUUGAAAGGGAAGCGUUUAUGACCAGACUUGGGCCCGGUUAAUCAUCCAGCGUUCUCGCUGGUGCACUUGGCCGGCCCAGGCCAGCAUCAGUUCGUCGCGGGGGAUAAAGGUUUCGGGAACGUGGCUCCCUCGGGAGUGUUAUAGCCCGUUGCGUAAUACCCUGCCUCGGACUGAGGUUCGCGCAUCUGCAAGGAUGCUGGCGUAAUGGUCAUCAACGACCCGUCUUGAAACACGGACCAAGGAGUCGUCUUCGUAUGCGAGUGUUCGGGUGUCAAACCCCUACGCGUAAUGAAAGUGAACGCAGGUGAGAGCUUCGGCGCAUCAUCGACCGAUCCUGAUGUUCUCGGAUGGAUUUGAGUAAGAGCAUACGGGGCCGGACCCGAAAGAAGGUGAACUAUGCCUGUAUAGGGUGAAGCCAGAGGAAACUCUGGUGGAGGCUCGCAGCGGUUCUGACGUGCAAAUCGAUCGUCAAAUAUGGGCAUGGGGGCGAAAGACUAAU
This 834-nucleotide ribosomal RNA is filed under the name Hypocreales sp. RNAcentral describes it as "partial large subunit ribosomal RNA". It matches the Rfam family "Eukaryotic large subunit ribosomal RNA", at positions 69 to 935 of the family's 3401-position model. Lineage: Eukaryota; Fungi; Ascomycota; Sordariomycetes; Hypocreales. The record is from RNAcentral.